Molecule: unclassified non-coding RNA, 378 nt
Filed under: uncultured Gammaproteobacteria bacterium
Lineage: Bacteria; Pseudomonadati; Pseudomonadota; Gammaproteobacteria
Description: contains 16S-23S intergenic spacer region
Source: RNAcentral
UCCGGUUUAUCACCGGCAGUCUCCUUAAAGUCCCCGACAUAACUCGCUGGUAACUAAGGACAAGGGUUGCGCUCGUUACGGGACUUAACCCAACAUCUCACGACACGAGCUGACGACAGCCAUGCAGCACCUGUCUCACGGUUCCCGAAGGCACUCUCGCAUCUCUACGAGAUUCCGUGGAUUCAAAGGUAGGUAAGGUUCUUCGCGUUGCAUCGAAUUAAACCACAUGCUCCACCGCUUGUGCGGGCCCCCGUCAAUUCAUUUGAGUUUUAACCUUGCGGCCGUACUCCCCAGGCGGAGAACUUAUCGCGUUAGCUACGAUACCAGAUGGUCUAAGCCACCUAACAUCUAGUUCUCAUAGUUUACGGCGUGGACUAC